UCCGCAGUAGCUCAGUGGUAGAGCUAAGAGCUAUCGGCUGUUAACCGAUCGGUCGUAGGUUCGAGUCCUACCUGCGGAGCCA
Molecule: transfer RNA, 82 nt
Filed under: Bacillus cereus MSX-A12
Lineage: Bacteria; Bacillati; Bacillota; Bacilli; Caryophanales; Bacillaceae
Description: tRNA-Asn
Rfam family: tRNA
About the family: Transfer RNA (tRNA) molecules are approximately 80 nucleotides in length.
Source: RNAcentral